Molecule: ribosomal RNA, 810 nt
Filed under: uncultured bacterium
Lineage: Bacteria
Description: bacterial SSU rRNA
Rfam family: Bacterial small subunit ribosomal RNA
Source: RNAcentral
AGAGUUUGAUCCUGGCUCAGAACGAACGCUGGCGGCGUGGAUAAGACAUGCAAGUCGAGCGAGAUUUUUUUCUGUAGCAAUACAGGGAAAAGUCUAGCGGCGAACGGGUGCUUAACACGUGGGCAACCUGCCGAGAAGUGGGGGAUAGCUCGCCGAAAGGCGAAUUAAUACCGCAUGUGAUCAGAGUGGACAUCCAUUCGAAAUCAAAGUCGGGGCAACCUGACGCUUCUUGAGGGGCCCGCGGCCUAUCAGCUAGUUGGUGAGGUAACGGCCCACCAAGGCUUAGACGGGUAGCUGGUCUGAGAGGACGACCAGCCACACUGGGACUGAGACACGGCCCAGACACCUACGGGUGGCAGCAGUCGAGAAUUUUUCUCAAUGGGGGAAACCCUGAAGGAGCGACGCCGCGUGGAGGAUGAAGGUCUUCGGAUUGUAAACUCCUGUCAUUGGGGAACAAUGCGCAAAUAUUAACUGUAUUUGCGUUGAUAGUACCCGAAGAGGAAGAGACGGCUAACUCUGUGCCAGCAGCCGCGGUAAUACAGAGGUCUCAAGCGUUGUUCGGAUUCAUUGGGCGUAAAGGGUGCGUAGGCGGCGCGGUAAGUCGGGUGUGAAAUCUCGGAGCUUAACUCCGAAACUGCAUUCGAUACUGCCGUGCUUGAGGACUGGAGAGGAGACUGGAAUUUACGGUGUAGCGGUGAAAUGCGUAGAUAUCGUAAGGAAGACCAGUGGCGAAGGCGGGUCUCUGGACAGUUCCUGACGCUGAGGCACGAAGGCCAGGGGAGCAAACGGGAUUAGAUACCCUAGUAGUCC